Molecule: long non-coding RNA, 328 nt
Organism: Wyeomyia smithii (pitcher-plant mosquito)
Lineage: Eukaryota; Metazoa; Arthropoda; Insecta; Diptera; Culicidae
Exons: 3
Source: RefSeq, a predicted model, not a curated record
CUUGGGUAAUCACGAAGUAGUCCGGACUUAUUCUGACCUAAAUGCUUGUAUAUAUCUGAUAUAAUGUUGAAAGGGGGAAUAGCGAACUGAUGAAGUGCUGCAGGUGGCAACCAUUAAUAUGCAUCACUAAUGUUGAUUUGAAGCACCCAUGAGAUUUCUCUUUUCUGACAUCUGCAAUUCCAAUUGACAAACCUCAAAACCAUGAGGCGAAACAAAAAUAGUGACGAUGGCGAACGGUGCAAGCAGCACAUUUACCCAGAGAUCAAAAAUUUAUUUGAGCAUCCUGAAAGCGAUUGCAUCGAUACAGUGACAGGGAUCAUCUGUAGGA